AGCAGCCGCGGUAAUUCCAGCUCCAAUAGCGUAUAUUAAAGUUGUUGCAGUUAAAAAGCUCGUAGUUGAAUUUCGGGGUUAGUAGGUUGGUCAUGCCUCUGGUAUGUACUGGUCUCACUGAUUCCUCCUUCUUUAUGAACCGUAAUGCCAUUAAUUUGGUGUUGCGGGGAAUUUGGACUGUUACUUUGAAAAAUUGAGUGUUUAAAGCAAGCUAACGCUUGAAUACAUUAGCAUGGAAUAAUGAAAUAGGACGUUCGAUCUUAUUUGUUGGUUCUAGGAUUGACGUAAUGAUUAAUAGGGAUAGUUGGGGGCAUUAGUAUUCAAUUGUCAGAGGUGAAAUUCUUGGAUUUAUUGAAGACUAACUACUGCGAAAGCAUUUGCCAAGAUGUUUCAGUUAAUCAAGAGCGAAAGUUAGGGAUCGAAGACGAUCAGAUACCGUCGUAGUCUUAACCAUAAACUACGACCG
This 466-nucleotide ribosomal RNA is filed under the name uncultured Glomus. RNAcentral describes it as "SSU rRNA". It matches the Rfam family "Eukaryotic small subunit ribosomal RNA", at positions 569 to 1045 of the family's 1831-position model. Lineage: Eukaryota; Fungi; Glomeromycota; Glomeromycetes; Glomerales; Glomeraceae. The record is from RNAcentral.